AAUAUUUAAUUUUGUCGUAUGCAGCAUAAUCAUGAUUAUGAUGUACAAUUAUUAACGAUAAGCGACAAUGAUUAGCCAAUAAUAAGUGUGCACCUAAUUUGAUGCGCACGGGCAAUUUUAUUUUCAUUAAUAAAUUUCGGUUCGUCAUUUCAUCUCAAACUAAUGGUAAAUUGUAUCUUAAAUGUGCGAACUUUCGUCAAAAAUGCCGCGCGCGUGCUGUUCAACGCAAGGAUACAAUGCAGCUUCAGAUACGAAAUGGAACACAUAAUCAUACAUUAGAAGAACAAAUUAAAAAAUAUGAUAUUACAUGCAGAAAGAAUAUUAAAAACUAGAUAGCUAUGAGCGUGCAAGUUUAAAAUUUGCAACCUAUGUUAAGUCUCGGCGCGGGACUCAAUUGGUAUAUUACAAAGAUAACACAUAUACACCUA
This is a long non-coding RNA of Teleopsis dalmanni, 428 nucleotides long. RefSeq lists it as uncharacterized. The record is from RefSeq and is a predicted model, not a curated record. The transcript is spliced from 3 exons. NCBI's taxonomy places the organism in Eukaryota, Metazoa, Arthropoda, Insecta, Diptera, Diopsidae.